AGUGAAUGAGAGAGAGAGAGAAAAAAUACGAUCCAAGGAAGUUAAAACCUGUGAGAUGAGGGGAGUUAGAGAGAAAACACAAGCGAAGGGACGUGAAAGGUGAGAAGUCAGGCCAUGCAGGUGGAGAGAGAAAAAUGGAGCCGGUAUUGCUGGCAGAUGACCAGUUCUGAUACAAAGAGCUAGUUCCCCAAAGUUGCUAAAUUCCGUAUUGAGCCCGGAAGACAACAGGGGUGCCCGAUGGAAGAUGAAAUGUUAUUCCUCAUCUUACAUUGGCCUAGUUUAUAACAGUGCAGGGGACCACAGGCAGAUAUGUCGGUGUGGGAGUAGAAUGGAGAAUUAAAGUGAAUUAACCCGAAGCUCAGGGUCCGACCUUGUCACUAAACAAGGUGCUCCACAAAGUGGUUAUCGAAUCUGUGUUUGAUUUUUCCAGUGCAUUGUAAGCAUCAAGUGCAGUGCACUAGGCUGAAAGAAGUGACAAUGAAUCACUGCAUCAUUUGGAAGGACGGUUUGGUGAGCAGAGUAAAAGGACAGAUGUUGCAUCUCUUGUGGGCCUGUAUCGCGUCCAUGAUGUUUUCUAUCUUUUCUAUGGUGGCUGAAAUAUUAAUCACAGCAUUCUCCAACUCUGCCACCCUCAAACCAGUCUGAAGUGCACCAAACCAUUUGAGUCUGGAUGGAUGGGUAGAUCAGCAAAAUCGGAAAUAGUGAAGUUGUGUUCAUUGUCUUCACAAGGAAUCUGGAAGACCAUGUGUCGCGAAAGUUAUUCUCAACUUCAAAAUCCUUGCUGGAGAUAUAGAAGCAUCUAUGGGAAUUGCCUCUACUGACUUUGUUUAUCUAAAACUUUUAUAAUAAUUUUUCGCACAAAUGCACCAGCAAAGUUCACAUAGUUCCUUUAUCAUGGUUUAGCCGUCCAGGCCACUAACUGAGAGACCUGCUGGUGGACCUUUGCAACGCUCUUGAUGUUCCUGACAUUCUUUCAUUUUCCUCCACUUCUCACCUAUUUCGGGGCACAAGACAAACCUUGUCACAAUUCGCUUGAUAGGAGUUAUAUCUAGACGUUUUUAGUGCUUCAUAACAGUUGCUCCUACUUGUGGAACAACAACUCUGGAUUACCCAAAGAGCCAUAUUAUUCUGGUUGGUUAAUUUGUAUGUGAUAACAAUGUGUCAUCUAUUUUCCUCCCCAUCCAUGCUGAAUUUGUUAAGACACUCAUUAGUCAUGUUUUGUCAUGGCAGCAUUACUGUCCAUGUAUUCCAGUAAUGACACAAUCUCACCCGGUAUUAGUGUCCUACAUGGAGGUUCACCAAUUAGCAGUCAGCACAGGGCAUUUGAUUUCUGAUUGUACAGUCCAUUCUUGCAUUUCAGAAUAUAAUCAUUUGCAGCCAGGGCAACGUCACAAUUUAAUGAACAAAAUCACAAGAACCUGUGAAAUCAGCAGCAAGUGCUGUGACUCUUGGAAGUCAGCUUCUUGUUUUUUGUCCACUUCUAUAUUGCCUUGUGAUUCAGUACUAGUUUAGAAAUCCUAAAGGUGGAGGAAGUGUCCAUAGUGGCUGAGAAGUCUGCGGUUUCAGAUCUGUCAAGUUAGGCGUGGUGCAUCCACAAUUACUUUAAUAUUGUCAGCUACUUGGAGAGUCUUUCAGAAUCUCCCCUAUAAUUGAUUUAGACUAUUUGUGAAACAGUCAUGAAAUACUUGUCUUUCUUCAACCACACUCCUGUAUCUCAGAAUCAAAAUAUCUUGUAGAUUAUCCUUGUGUUCCUGCUUUAACUUUCUGGACACCAAAAUAGCAUCUAGGUAGCCUACAACACCUGACAAAAUUUAAAUCAAGCUAUAAUGUUCAAGCUAUAAGUCAUGCUUUACCCAAAUUUGAACAUCGUGAGGUUUCAACUGAUAUGAACAUAGUUUACUUUGAAAUUUAAAACACCAUUUGGUGUAUUUAAUUGAUAUAUCGGGUCAGCUCAUUUUCAAGGCUGAAUAAAGCAUUCCAAAACACAGCAUACUUAUUUACUAAUUGGUCAGCCUGUACCUUAUCUGUCCAAAUAUUGAUUCCAUUUCCAAAUCUGUGGAAUCCAUUUAAUAAACAUUUGUCCAGCAUUAAAUCCACUGAAUAUUUUCUUUUGAUGCUUAAUGCCAUUUAGGUUCUUGAGCAGUGGAGAAGGCAUCAACUGCCAUUGGAGAUCACAGAUGCUUAUCUGAAUAUGUAGAUAAUGUCUAAUGACAGAUUACUGGCCAUCCACUGGAUUCUUGAGCUAAGCAGCACUACUUCUACUCUGCUGACAAAUAGGCCAAAGUGAAAAUCUACUUCAACAUAUCUUGUUGAAUCGGGAGUUAUUAGCAUUUGUUUUGUUGACUUAAUUGAUUUCAUCUUCACUUUGUGGGUUGCAGCUUAAUUCUGACUCCCACUAUAUCUGGAGAAAAUCAAUCAAAUGGCAGCCACUGACAAUGAUAAGAGUCCAUUGAUCUGGCCCAUUAUACUGAUUUAUUUCACAUGGUUAAAGAUACAUAUAACAAAUUACGUGAAAUUAUAAAGUGUUGAAAAUAAACUUGACUCCAUCAAUAUUUCAUCUUGUGGCGACUCACCGUUUAGUUGGGCGAACCAGCUCGGCAGUCGGGUCGCGCAGCGUCGGAGCGACGAGGCCCAAGAUGGCGGCAGGCCUCGUCUUUCCCGAGCGACGGGGAGAACCCGCGCGCGGGAAAGUCUUGAUGACGUAGUACUUACGUCAUUGCUGGUUGCUUUGGGCGGGAACAGUCUCCCUUAAAGGGCCCGCGCAAGGCGGGAAAAUAAACCACUUCUUGUUCGACCAUCCUCCAACUAGCGUUUUGUUUUAUUUCGCAGUAGCAACCGCUACAAUCUGAAUAAAACAUAAAUAUUUACUCUUUUGUUUCCCUUUACAGUACUUUCAUCUUUGAUUCCUCCAUCCCUUAUGGCCAUGAAACAAUUUCUUUGUUAAUAUUUCCCAAUGCGGCUGGUAAAAACUGAAACUUUGUUUAUCAUUCUAGUACACAGUAGCUUUUGCCCAAGCAUUUCAGUAGCUGGAACUUGUUCAC
Long non-coding RNA from Pristis pectinata (smalltooth sawfish), 3041 nucleotides. RefSeq lists it as uncharacterized. The transcript has 3 exons. The record is from RefSeq and is a predicted model, not a curated record. NCBI's taxonomy places the organism in Eukaryota, Metazoa, Chordata, Chondrichthyes, Rhinopristiformes, Pristidae.